RNAcentral lists this ribosomal RNA (551 nucleotides) under uncultured bacterium. RNAcentral describes it as "bacterial SSU rRNA". It matches the Rfam family "Bacterial small subunit ribosomal RNA", at positions 126 to 688 of the family's 1533-position model. The record is from RNAcentral.
CUACCCAGAAGACCGGGAUAACCCUGGGAAACUGGGGCUAAUACCGGAUACGCUCCUUUGGGGGCAUCCCUAAGGGAGGAAAGGGUGUUGAGCCCGCUUUUGGAUGGGCCCGCGUCCCAUUAGCUAGUUGGUGAGGUAACGGCUCACCAAGGCGACGAUGGGUAGCCGGCCUGAGAGGGUGGUCGGCCACACUGGGACUGAGACACGGCCCAGACUCCUACGGGAGGCAGCAGUGGGGGAUCUUGCGCAAUGGGGGAAACCCUGACGCAGCGACGCCGCGUGGGUGACGAAGGCCUUCGGGUUGUAAAGCCCUGUCGUAGGGGAAGAAGAGAUGACGGUACCCUACAAGAAAGCCCCGGCUAACUACGUGCCAGCAGCCGCGGUAAAACGUAGGGGGCGAGCGUUGUCCGGAAUUACUGGGCGUAAAGGGCGUGUAGGCGGGCGGCCAAGUCAGGUGUGAAAGGCCCCGGCUCAACCGGGGAGAUGCACCUGAGACUGGUCGUCUUGAGGGCAGGAGAGGGGAGUGGAAUUCCCGGUGUAGCGGUGAAAUG